RNAcentral lists this ribosomal RNA (373 nucleotides) under Bradyrhizobium sp. RNAcentral describes it as "bacterial SSU rRNA". It matches the Rfam family "Bacterial small subunit ribosomal RNA", at positions 914 to 1284 of the family's 1533-position model. The record is from RNAcentral. Lineage: Bacteria; Pseudomonadati; Pseudomonadota; Alphaproteobacteria; Hyphomicrobiales; Nitrobacteraceae.
CGGGGGCCCGCACAAGCGGUGGAGCAUGUGGUUUAAUUCGACGCAACGCGCAGAACCUUACCAGCCCUUGACAUCCCGGUCGCGGACUCCAGAGACGGAGUUCUUCAGUUCGGCUGGACCGGAGACAGGUGCUGCAUGGCUGUCGUCAGCUCGUGUCGUGAGAUGUUGGGUUAAGUCCCGCAACGAGCGCAACCCCCGUCCUUAGUUGCUACCAUUUAGUUGAGCACUCUAAGGAGACUGCCGGUGAUAAGCCGCGAGGAAGGUGGGGAUGACGUCAAGUCCUCAUGGCCCUUACGGGCUGGGCUACACACGUGCUACAAUGGCGGUGACAAUGGGAUGCUAAGGGGCGACCCUUCGCAAAUCUCAAAAAGCC